This is a non-coding RNA of Salmo salar (Atlantic salmon), 54 nucleotides long. The record is from Rfam. NCBI's taxonomy places the organism in Eukaryota, Metazoa, Chordata, Actinopteri, Salmoniformes, Salmonidae.
AAUGCACCAAUUUGUAAGUCGCUCUGGAUAAGAGCGUCUGCUAAAUGUAAAUGA